This 414-nucleotide long non-coding RNA is filed under the name Elaeis guineensis (African oil palm). Its description in RNAcentral is "long non-coding RNA (EGUI_LNC008258)". Lineage: Eukaryota; Viridiplantae; Streptophyta; Magnoliopsida; Arecales; Arecaceae. The record is from RNAcentral.
CCCAACUCAAUGCUAUUUUACAAUCUAAUAGAGUAGGAUUUCAUUUAGUUAUUAUUCCUUAAUGAUGAAUUUAAUUCAGUUCUAUUUAUUUCUAUGCUGCUUUAUUAACUAUUGUGGAGUGUAUUCUUGUUUUUUGCUUUAGUCCACUAUAUGGCUAUUCUUUCAGGCUAUCCAUGAUGAUUGGCAUAUAGAUUUUGGUAGGUUUUGGUAUCAUACUGGUGCUUUAUAUAUAUAUAUAUAUAUAUAUGCCCAAUGCUACUGUGGUUUUCCUUUAUAUUCCAUGUUUAUGGAUUGAAAAUGGUACAUGAUGAUGACCCAAUCAAUUCUCUUUGAUGCUGUUAAUGAUUUCUUACUUAAAAGUAGGAUAUGUCAAUGGUUUUGGAUGUUUGGACCAUUUGACCAUGAACUACUCCU